This 468-nucleotide ribosomal RNA is filed under the name uncultured bacterium. RNAcentral describes it as "partial 16S ribosomal RNA". It matches the Rfam family "Bacterial small subunit ribosomal RNA", at positions 28 to 507 of the family's 1533-position model. The record is from RNAcentral.
GACGAACGCUGGCGGCGUGCUUAACACAUGCAAGUCGAACGGAAAGGCCCUGCUUUUGUGGGGGGCUCGAGUGGCGAAAGGGUGAGUAACACGUGAGUAACCUGCCCUUGACUUUGGGAUAACUUCAGGAAACUGGGGCUAAUACCGGAUAGGAGCUCCUGCUGCAUGGUGGGGGGUGGGAAGUUUCGGCGGUUGGGGAUGGACUCGCGGCUUAUCAGCUUGUUGGUGGGGUAGUGGCUUACCAAGGCUUUGACGGGUAGCCGGCCUGAGAGGGUGACCGGUCACAUUGGGACUGAGAUACGGCCCAGACUCCUACGGGAGGCAGCAGUGGGGAAUAUUGCACAAUGGGCGGAAGCCUGAUGCAGCAACGCCGCGUGCGGGAUGACGGCCUUCGGGUUGUAAACCGCUUUCGCCUGUGACGAAGCGUGAGUGACGGUAAUGGGUAAAGAAGCACCGGCUAACUACGUG